This 74-nucleotide transfer RNA is filed under the name Mycobacterium sp. RNAcentral's name for it is "tRNA-Cys". It matches the Rfam family "tRNA". Rfam says of the family: Transfer RNA (tRNA) molecules are approximately 80 nucleotides in length. Lineage: Bacteria; Bacillati; Actinomycetota; Actinomycetes; Mycobacteriales; Mycobacteriaceae. RNAcentral also lists the same sequence under 4 other names. The record is from RNAcentral.
GGCGACGUGGCCGAGUGGUUAGGCAGAGGCCUGCAAAGCCUUGUACAGGGGUUCGAUUCCCCUCGUCGCCUCCA